Scatophagus argus is the source of this 3385-nucleotide long non-coding RNA. RefSeq lists it as uncharacterized. The transcript is spliced from 3 exons. Lineage: Eukaryota; Metazoa; Chordata; Actinopteri; Scatophagidae. The record is from RefSeq and is a predicted model, not a curated record.
AGAGGGAAGUGGGACUUCAGAGAAAACCGGCAUAUGGAGCCAGAGUGUUUUCACAUGUUUCUUAGUGAGUUAAGUUUUUCUCAACCAAAUAAGAGUUGGUGAUUGUUGGAACAGUGAAAAAAAACUAAUCAAGAUGAUUAUGAAUGGGCAUCAGAACCAGAGCCGUGUGUGUGGCCAACAAAACCAGGCCCUGCAGCCUCACAGUGAACACGGCUGGACCAAACACAGCCUCCGAGGCCAACGGAGGCCAUUUUGAUGACAGGGAAUCCGGGACGGAGGUGCUUUACAUUGGCUCAGACCAGGACUGCAGUGACAAGAGAAGCUUAAAGUGAAGAGGGACUUCGACAUUCCCUCCAGUGCUCAUGCUUCCUGUGCUGGGAAAGUUGCUGUUGCCACAGAGAUGGAGCAGAAAAACAUCUUUCUUUGGAAGCAGCCAAGAAACAGAUGAAUGUUAAAGACUAUCCACCAGACCCAGACUACUUCUUUAUGUUUGAGGCUUUCUGUCUUUCUGUUUUUCCACACAUUUCUCAUCCUCCAUUCUCAUAAUCAGGAUGAAAACUGCAGCAGUGGAGCAAUACGUUCUUAGAAUUUUGCAUGUUUUCCGUGCCGUCUUCGAGGUACAGGCAGCAACAUGUGCUUAAGGGCAUAAAUACCCAGAAAGAUGUUGAAUUAGUAAAGAUUUUGAGCAAAUGGCCUGCUAAUUCACAAGCUUAUAAAACCACAGCGAUAGCCAUGAACCAGUUUGUUCAUCUCCAAAGCCUGCAGUAAAUGCUAAUCUGGGCCUGAACUCAAAGAAACGUUAAAAAAAAGUGAUCCCAUCGUGCCAAUGAUAGCUGUAAUAUUUUUCUAAAAGUCCCCUUGAGUUCUGCCAGCGGUGGUGCCUGUGCUCUAAAAAUGUCAGUCACACUGAAGAGGUUAACCCCAGCCCUAUAAGAGAGCUGAUGGAAUAUUACACAAAUAGACGGACUGUAUCUGAUCCCAGCUCAGCAUGCUGUAAGACCAUCCCAUUCCAAUCUUGCCUCUCUCUGUCACCUCAUUAAAAAUACAAAGAGGGUAAAGAAGGGCCAGUCCUGAGCAAUCUCCGUUAAAGCUGCCUGUGAAUGCAAUGGCGUUAAUGUCAUUUAAUGCUGUUUCAUCUGAAAAACCACAUUAGAGUCAGAUUUAGUAAUCUGGGUUUGCCCAUGCUCGUCUCUAUGAUGUCAUUAUGCUAAACUGACCUUUACUGCCAGAUUAGGAGCGGUGGAGGGAAUAGAAGGAGGCUUUGGAAAGGGAAUUAACAAGAAAUGAAAAAUGGUGUAUUUGGCAUGUGGGUGAUGAAGUAUUCAGCAGCAUUUUGAACCUAAGUGCCAUCGACUACCAAUCAGAAUGAGAGGGACAAAAUGUCUUUUUGUGGUUUGAUCAGCUCACACCCAUGUCUUUAAAUUAAUGUUUAGCUCUUUCAGGAAUUCCUAGUGUCAAAGCCUGGUCUUUCUGUACACCUUAAUAAGCACUGGCACAAAGGAAAAUCUGAAUCUGCGGUAUAAAACCACUGGGUUGUUCUAAAUCCACUGUGCUUUUUAAGUUAAUUUGUUACCCGUAAAGGGAUUUCUGAUUCCUUUCAGUCUCUCUGCUCUCCCUGUAGAGGGAUUCCUGUUCUCUUUACAUUUGGACAACAUCUAAGAGCUGGCUGAGCUGCUGCACAUACUGUACCGAGAGGAGGAGGUGCAGCACAUUCAACAGUCCAGUUAUUUUGUUCCAACAGUUGUGGAACAAAAUAAGCACUUAGAUACAAUUCUCUUUAACCUUUGCACUAAAUCUUAGCAGACAGACACAAAGGUGGCGAGAGUGACAAAAGGUUUCUGCGAGAGGAUUAAUAAACCGAGACUUAAUCUUAAAGUUGUGCUCAUUCAUAUUGAUCAUCUUCGCUGUCUUCAAUAUUCAGGGAAGUUAGAGGUCUCCACUUGGGAAGACGGAUAGAGCUAUCGACUGCAAUCACAGCUUCUCCCCUCUAUCCAUCACGACCAAUUCCAAACUGGACCUCACUCAUCCCGGCCACUUUACACUGCUUUAGCUUUGCAUAGGAGAGAUUUGCACAUGCAAUAAACACAUAGAGAGGGAAGGGAGGCGGCAUUACAUGGACAUCACUGUGACAGUCGUUGGCUAUAUUGAAUUACUGGGUGGUGAACUUUCUGACAGCCUUGUUGGCAGAGGGACGAUUUUCCCUCCGUUGCUCUCCUGGUGGUUUAAGAUUGGAGGCAUCACUCUGAUGGAGGUGUCUGUUGGGCAGAAAUAUUGUGUUCUAGCUAAGCUUUGACACUUCAACACCAGCAUCGCUCAAACAGCCCUGAGGUACUUGGACUGAGGUAAAAUGAAGAGAGGGAAGUGUUGCGUACAGGCUACCUGUGCUGUUAGGAGAAACAUUCACUUACAGAUCGAACACUCUAUGAGAGUAACUCUUUGGUCUUGAAGCAAAUGUCAAAAACUUGACUGCUCUGAGACCUGACGACUUGUGUUGAUGUAUUUAUUACAGUCACCUGACCAGGUGUUUAAGUAUGUCAACUAUACAAGAUGCAUGACACUUUGAUAACCAGUGCAUACACCCGACACAGACUCGAGCACUUGACACACUACAGGCACUGAAUGCAUCUCUUGUCAGGUCUAGUUCCUCCUCUGCUGACAUGAUGAGUGCUUACUGCACAGGGGGCAGAUUCAUCUUACACUUCCUUAUCAUGUCAUUAUCACAGUGUCAUGUCAUUAUCAUAAUUAUUAUCAUGUUGUGCUAUUCCAUGGAGAAAGUAAUUGAUGGGUCAGCUAAACUCAUCUCUAAGGAGAAGGCAUCCUCUUGUUAGUGAUUCCAGGGAAAUUGCCCAGUGAGCAUGUUUGCGGCGUCUGCGUGACCGAGGUGUGACUGUCAAUGCUAAGUUGAGACCAGCAGAUGGUGGUGAUGGUAGUGGUGGUAAGGGGAGCCUUUGAUUGGAGAGGAAAACUGAAAAACAGACCCUGUGCUUCAGACAAGAAGGGUAAACAGAGCAAUUUCCCACAGACAAAAGAAGAGGCUUCUCCUGUGACAACAUAAGAGAUCCAAACAAGUUUGUCUCCUCUUUCUUCUCCCUGUGGGAGACUCUGUUGAAAUGAGUCCACAGUUCCUUCAGCGCUGGUAAAUGGAGUGCCUCCAUCCUCAAGCAGAGUCACCAUGUCCCUCUAUAACAGCCAAUCUCCUCCUCAAUUGGGCCUGUCUGGCCUGAAGCUGGACCAAGAUUCAGAAACAAUCUGUUUGUGAUAGUUUGUGUUUGUUAAUGUGUCUGUUGGAAUGACACAUUUUUGUGGAAAUGUAUGUGGUCUACAACUGUAGGUGUGGAAAACAGGCAUUAAAGAAAGGCAGGUAAAAGACACAACUGAUUUUUAA